AUGUUGGUUAAAACCAUUAACCAAGCACAGUUAAUACAUCUGACCCUGGCUUGUACCUUUAAGACUGCCCACGCCACUUCUGCAGUGGAAAUCAAGGCCACAGUACACUAUUGGCAUACAAACAUGAAGAUUUAUGGUCUGACUAGAGAACUGGAAAAUGGAUUGGGCAGGUGGGGGCAGUUCCUCCAAGAUAGGAGAAUCUCAGGACAUCCUGGACGCCGGGGUCCUGAGAGGGGACCAGAGAGCUGCGCUCAAUACUGCAGAGCCAUCCAUCAAUGGAUCCAGGCUGAAGAAGGUCCUUGGAGGAGGAGAAAGGCUGAGAGUCCCAGGGGGCAGAGUUCUAGUCCUGCCUCUGACACUACCAAGCUGCAGGACCUUAGACCUCCAGUUCUGGGAUCUCACGCCCACUGGCCAUGA
Molecule: long non-coding RNA, 417 nt
Filed under: Monodelphis domestica (gray short-tailed opossum)
Lineage: Eukaryota; Metazoa; Chordata; Mammalia; Didelphimorphia; Didelphidae
Description: lncRNA (ENSMODG00000039767.1)
Source: RNAcentral